Non-coding RNA from Rattus norvegicus (Norway rat), 69 nucleotides. NCBI's taxonomy places the organism in Eukaryota, Metazoa, Chordata, Mammalia, Rodentia, Muridae. The record is from Rfam.
GGGGAUUUAGCUCAUGGUAGAGCGCUUGCCUAGCAAGCACAAGGCCCUGGGUUCAGUCCCCAGCUCCCA